GUUGCAAUGGCUGAGUGGUAAAGCGAUUGGCUUCCAAACCAAAGGUUCUGGGCUUGAAUCCUGGUAAAGACU
This 72-nucleotide transfer RNA is filed under the name Biomphalaria glabrata. It matches the Rfam family "tRNA". From Rfam's summary of the family: Transfer RNA (tRNA) molecules are approximately 80 nucleotides in length. Their secondary structure includes four short double-helical elements and three loops (D, anti-codon, and T loops). Further hydrogen bonds mediate the characteristic L-shaped molecular structure. tRNAs have two regions of fundamental functional importance: the anti-codon, which is responsible for specific mRNA codon recognition, and the 3' end, to which the tRNAs corresponding amino acid is attached (by aminoacyl-tRNA synthetases). tRNAs cope with the degeneracy of the genetic code in two manners: having more than one tRNA (with a specific anti-codon) for a particular amino acid; and 'wobble' base-pairing, i.e. permitting non-standard base-pairing at the 3rd anti-codon position. Lineage: Eukaryota; Metazoa; Mollusca; Gastropoda; Planorbidae. The record is from Rfam by way of RNAcentral.